RNAcentral lists this ribosomal RNA (524 nucleotides) under Penicillium sp. Tibet-4603-6. RNAcentral's name for it is "eukaryotic LSU rRNA". The stretch from base 154 to 306 matches the Rfam family "5.8S ribosomal RNA". The record is from RNAcentral. Lineage: Eukaryota; Fungi; Ascomycota; Eurotiomycetes; Eurotiales; Aspergillaceae.
UCACCUCCCACCCGUGUUUAUUUACCUUGUUGCUUCGGCGGGCCCGCCUUAACUGGCCGCCGGGGGGCUCACGCCCCCGGGCCCGCGCCCGCCGAAGACACCCUCGAACUCUGUCUGAAGAUUGUAGUCUGAGUGAAAAUAUAAAUUAUUUAAAACUUUCAACAACGGAUCUCUUGGUUCCGGCAUCGAUGAAGAACGCAGCGAAAUGCGAUACGUAAUGUGAAUUGCAAAUUCAGUGAAUCAUCGAGUCUUUGAACGCACAUUGCGCCCCCUGGUAUUCCGGGGGGCAUGCCUGUCCGAGCGUCAUUGCUGCCCUCAAGCACGGCUUGUGUGUUGGGCCCCGUCCUCCGAUUCCGGGGGACGGGCCCGAAAGGCAGCGGCGGCACCGCGUCCGGUCCUCGAGCGUAUGGGGCUUUGUCACCCGCUCUGUAGGCCCGGCCGGCGCUUGCCGAUCAACCCAAAUUUUUAUCCAGGUUGACCUCGGAUCAGGUAGGGAUACCCGCUGAACUUAAGCAUAUCAAUAA